Molecule: ribosomal RNA, 453 nt
Filed under: uncultured bacterium
Lineage: Bacteria
Description: bacterial SSU rRNA
Rfam family: Bacterial small subunit ribosomal RNA
Source: RNAcentral
GUGAACGCUGGCGGCGUGGAUAAGGCAUGCAAGUCGAGUGGGUUUAGACCCAUGGCAGACGAGGUAGUAAUACGUAGGAACUUACCCCAGAGUCGGGCAUAUUCCAUCGAAAGAUGGCGCAAUUCCCGAUGGUCCCUGAUCCUGAGAGUAAUCGAAGGAGAAGGGUAAAGGAGCAAUUCGCUCUGGGAGAGGCCUGCGCAAUAUCAGCUAGUUGGUGAGGUAAUGGCUCACCAAGGCUAUGACGUUUAGGGGCGCUGAGAGGCGGACCCCCACCGAUCGCACUGAGACACGGGCGAUACCUCUACGGAGGGCUGCAGCCGAGAAUAUUCCGCAAUGGACGAAAGUCUGACGGAGCGACGCCGCGUGAUGGAUGAAGUCCUUCGGGACGUAAACAUCUUUUAUCGGGGAUGAAGUUUUGACAGUACCCGAGGAAUAAGGGGCUCCUAACUCUGU